AGUGAACGCUGGCGGUAGGCCUAACACAUGCAAGUCGAACGGCAGCACAGUAAGAGCUUGCUCUUACGGGUGGCGAGUGGCGGACGGGUGAGGAAUACAUCGGAAUCUACUUUUUCGUGGGGGAUAACGUAGGGAAACUUACGCUAAUACCGCAUACGACCUACGGGUGAAAGCAGGGGAUCUUCGGACCUUGCGCGAUUGAAUGAGCCGAUGUCGGAUUAGCUAGUUGGCGGGGUAAAGGCCCACCAAGGCGACGAUCCGUAGCUGGUCUGAGAGGAUGAUCAGCCACACGGGAACUGAGACACGGUCCAGACUCCUACGGGAGGCAGCAGUGGGGAAUAUUGGACAAUGGGCGCAAGCCUGAUCCAGCCAUACCGCGUGGGUGAAGAAGGCCUUCGGGUUGUAAAGCCCUUUUGUUGGGAAAGAAAAGCAGCAGGUUAAUACCCCGCUGUUAUGACGGUACCCAAAGAAUAAGCACCGGCUAACUUCGUG
This 492-nucleotide ribosomal RNA is filed under the name uncultured bacterium. RNAcentral's name for it is "partial 16S ribosomal RNA". It matches the Rfam family "Bacterial small subunit ribosomal RNA", at positions 29 to 507 of the family's 1533-position model. The record is from RNAcentral.